GAUAGUGAACCAGUACCGUGAGGGAAAGGUGAAAAGAACCCCGAACAGGGGAGUGAAAUAGAACCUGAAACCAUACGCUUACAACCUGUCGGAGCGGCUUCGUGCCGUGACGGCGUGCCUAUUGAAUAAUGAGCCUACGAGUUACUAAUCACUGGCAAGGUUAAGUGCACGGAUGCACGGAGCCGAAGCGAAAGCGAGUCUGAAUAGGGCGUUUAGUCAGUGGUUGUAGACGCGAAACCUUGCGAUCUACCCUUGAGCAGGUUGAAGGUUGGGUAAAACCAACUGGAGGACCGAACGAAUAAGCGUUGAAAAGCUUCUCGAUGACUUGAGGGUAGGGGUGAAAGGCUAAUCAAGCUGGGAAAUAGCUCGUACUCCCCGAAAUGCCUUUAGGGGCAGCGUUGUAAUUAAGAGUCUACUGGAGGUAGAGCUACUGAUUGGAUGCGGGGGCUUCACCGCCUACCAAAUCCUGACAAACUCCGAAUGCCAGUAGUAUGAUUUACAGCAGUGAGCGACCGGGUGCUAAUGUCCGGUUACGAGAGUGGAACAACACAGACCAGCAACUAAGGUCCCCAAGAGUAUACUAAGUUGAUCUAACGAUGUUUUGCUGCAGAGACAGCUAGGAUGUUAGCUUGGAAGCAGCUAUUCAUUCAAAGAGUGCGUAACAGCUCACUAGUCGAGCGGCAAAGCGUGGAUAAUAAACGGGCAUCAAGUAUACCACCGAAGUUCUGGGCACGAAAGUGCGGUAGGGGAGCAUUCCAUUCCGCGUUGAAGCCGAACCGUGAGGUUUGGUGGAGUGUAUGGAAAAGCAAAUGUAGGCAUGAGUAACGAUAAUGCGGGAGAGUAACCCGCACACCGCAAGACCAAGGUUUCCUGAUCAACGCUAAUCGGAUCAGGGUUAGUCGGGUCCUAAGGGUAAGCCGAACGGUGAUCUCGAUGGAUAAUCGGUUAAUAUUCCGAUACUGACAUAUACCUCGAUGGAGAGACGAAGGAACGUAAGUGCCGCCACCUGACGGAAUAGGUGGUUAAAGGGCUUAGGUAUAGGGGCAGAUUAAGAGUUAGUCCUUGCUGAAACCUGACAGUACAGAGAGCCUACGGGCAAUUUGAUAGUGCACCCAAGUCGACUUCCGAGAAAAUCUUCUAAGUUAUAGUAUAUGUCACCCGUACCGUAAACCGACACAGGUGGUCGAGGAGAGUAUCCUAAGGUGCUCGAGUGAAUCACGGUUAAGGAACUAGGCAAAUUAACCCCGUAACUUCGGGAAAAGGGGUCCCAUCGCGAGGUGGGCGCAGCGAAGAGGUCCAGGCGACUGUUUAUCAAAAACACAGGGCUCUGCAAAUUCGAAAGAAGACGUAUAGGGCCUGACACCUGCCCGGUGCUGGAAGGUUAAGAGGGGAUGUCAUCGCAAGAGAAGCAUUGAAUCGAAGCCCCAGUAAACGGCGGCCGUAACUAUAACGGUCCUAAGGUAGCGAAAUUCCUUGUCGGGUAAGUUCCGACCUGCACGAAUGGUGUAACGAUCUGGACACUGUCUCAACCGUGAGCUCGGUGAAAUUGUAGUCCCGGUGAUGAUGCCGGGUACCCGCAACGGGACGAAAAGACCCCGUGAACCUUUACUAUAGCUUAACGCUGAAUUUGGGUACACAAUGUGUAGGAUAGGCAGGAGACUACGAAGCGGGCACGCCAGUGUUCGUGGAGUCGACGUUGAAAUACUGCCCUUUGUGUACUUGAGUUCUAACCCUCGAGAUGGGGACACCGUUUGGUGGGUAGUUUGACUGGGGUGGUCGCCUCCAAAAGAGUAACGGAGGCUUCCCAAGGUACCCUCAGCACGAAUGGUAACCGUGCGUAGAGUGCAAUAGCAUAAGGGUGCUUGACUGUGAGACCAACAAGUCGAUCAGGUGCGAAAGCAGGGUAUAGUGAUCCGGUGGUUCUGCGUGGACUGGCCAUCGCUCAAAG
This 1948-nucleotide ribosomal RNA is filed under the name human gut metagenome. RNAcentral's name for it is "bacterial LSU rRNA". It matches the Rfam family "Bacterial large subunit ribosomal RNA", at positions 486 to 2454 of the family's 2925-position model. The record is from RNAcentral.